ACCUAAAAAUCUCCGCAUGCA
RNAcentral lists this transfer RNA (21 nucleotides) under Carassius carassius (crucian carp). RNAcentral's name for it is "partial tRNA-Phe". The record is from RNAcentral. Lineage: Eukaryota; Metazoa; Chordata; Actinopteri; Cypriniformes; Cyprinidae.